Molecule: ribosomal RNA, 253 nt
Filed under: uncultured bacterium
Lineage: Bacteria
Description: partial 16S ribosomal RNA
Rfam family: Bacterial small subunit ribosomal RNA
Source: RNAcentral
UACGAAGGGGGCUAGCGUUGUUCGGAUUUACUGGGCGUAAAGCGCACGUAGGCGGAUUGUUAAGUCAGGGGUGAAAUCCUGGAGCUCAACUCCAGAACUGCCUUUGAUACUGGCAAUCUAGAGUCCGGAAGAGGUGAGUGGAACUCCUAGUGUAGAGGUGGAAUUCGUAGAUAUUAGGAAGAACACAAGUGGCGAAGGCGGCUCACUGGUCCGGUACUGACGCUGAGGUGCGAAAGCGUGGGGAGCAAACAGG